AACUUAAAUAUGUUUUCAGUCC
Molecule: microRNA, 22 nt
Filed under: Medicago truncatula (barrel medic)
Lineage: Eukaryota; Viridiplantae; Streptophyta; Magnoliopsida; Fabales; Fabaceae
Description: mtr-miR2650
Source: miRBase by way of RNAcentral